UACGGGGGGGGCAAGCGUUGUUCGGAAUUACUGGGCGUAAAGGGCUCGUAGGUGGCCAACUAAGUCGGACGUGAAAUCCCUCAGCUUAACUGGGGAACUGCGUCCGAUACUGGAUGGCUUGAGUUUGGGAGAGGGAUGCGGAAUUCCAGGUGUAGCGGUGAAAUGCGUAGAUAUCUGGAGGAACACCGGUGGCGAAGGCGGCAUCCUGGACCCACACUGACACUGAGGAGCGAAAGCCAGGGGAGCAAACGGG
Molecule: ribosomal RNA, 253 nt
Filed under: uncultured bacterium
Lineage: Bacteria
Description: partial 16S ribosomal RNA
Rfam family: Bacterial small subunit ribosomal RNA
Source: RNAcentral